This 184-nucleotide ribosomal RNA is filed under the name Haemophilus influenzae. RNAcentral describes it as "partial 23S ribosomal RNA". It matches the Rfam family "Bacterial large subunit ribosomal RNA", at positions 2743 to 2925 of the family's 2925-position model. The record is from RNAcentral. Lineage: Bacteria; Pseudomonadati; Pseudomonadota; Gammaproteobacteria; Pasteurellales; Pasteurellaceae.
GGGUAGCUAAGUGCGGAAGAGAUAAGUGCUGAAAGCAUCUAAGCACGAAACUUGCCAAGAGAUGAGUUCUCCCAAUCAAAGAGAUUGUAAGGGUUGUUGUAGACUACGACGUAGAUAGGUCUGGUGUGUAAGUGUAGUGAUACAUUGAGCUAACAGAUACUAAUUGCCCGAGAGGCUUAACUAU